Molecule: ribosomal RNA, 1379 nt
Filed under: Ligilactobacillus salivarius
Lineage: Bacteria; Bacillati; Bacillota; Bacilli; Lactobacillales; Lactobacillaceae
Rfam family: Bacterial small subunit ribosomal RNA
Source: RNAcentral
UUAAAAUGAGAGUUUGAUCCUGGCUCAGGACGAACGCUGGCGGCGUGCCUAAUACAUGCAAGUCGAACGAAACUUUCUUACACCGAAUGCUUGCAUUCACUCGUAAGAAUGAGUGGCGUGGACGGGUGAGUAACACGUGGGUAACCUGCCUAAAAGAAGGGGAUAACACUUGGAAACAGGUGCUAAUACCGUAUAUCUCUAAGGAUCGCAUGAUCCUUAGAUGAAAGAUGGUUCUNGCUAUCGCUUUUAGAUGGACCCGCGGCGUAUUAACUAGUUGGUGGGGUAACGGCCUACCAAGGUGAUGAUACGUAGCCGAACUGAGAGGUUGAUCGGCCACAUUGGGACUGAGACACGGCCCNAACUCCUACGGGAGGCAGCAGUAGGGAAUCUUCCACAAUGGACGCAAGUCUGAUGGAGCAACGCCGCGUGAGUGAAGAAGGUCUUCGGAUCGUAAAACUCNGUUGUUAGAGAAGAACUCGAGUGAGAGUAACUGUUCAUUCGAUGACGGUAUCUAACCAGCAAGUCACGGCUAACUACGUGCCAGCAGCCGCGGUAAUACGUAGGUGGCAAGCGUUGUCCGGAUUUAUUGGGCGUAAAGGGAACGCAGGCGGUCUUUUAAGUCUGAUGUGAAAGCCUUCGGCUUAACCGGAGUAGUGCUAUGGAAACUGGAAGACUUGAGUGCAGAAGAGGAGAGUGGAACUCCAUGUGUAGCGGUGAAAUGCGUAGAUAUAUGGAAGAACACCAGUGGCGAAAGCGGCUCUCUGGUCUGUAACUGACGCUGAGGUUCGAAAGCGUGGGUAGCAAACAGGAUUAGAUACCCUGGUAGUCCACGCCGUAAACGAUGAAUGCUAGGUGUUGGAGGGUUUCCGCCCUUCAGUGCCGCAGCUAACGCAAUAAGCAUUCCGCCUGGGGAGUACGACCGCAAGGUUGAAACUCAAAGGAAUUGACGGGGGCNNGCACAAGCGGUGGAGCAUGUGGUUUAAUUCGAANNAACGCGAAGAACCUUACCAGGUCUUGACAUCCUUUGACCACCUAAGAGAUUAGGCUUUCCCUUCGGGGACAAAGUGACAGGUGGNGCAUGGCUGUCGUCAGCUCGUGUCGUGAGAUGUUGGGUUAAGUCCCGCAACGAGCGCAACCCUUGUUGUCAGUUGCCAGCAUUAAGUUGGGCACUCUGGCGAGACUGCCGGUGACAAACCGGAGGAAGGUGGGGACGACGUCAAGUCAUCAUGCCCCUUAUGACCUGGGCUACACACGUGCUACAAUGGACGGUACAACGAGUCGCGAGACCGCGAGGUUUAGCUAAUCUCUUAAAGCCGUUCUCAGUUCGGAUUGUAGGCUGCAACUCGCCUACAUGAAGUCGGAAUCGCUAGUAAUCGCGA